ACGGGUGUAGUUCAACGGUAAAACUUCGGUCUUCAAAACCGACUUUGUGGGUUCGAUUCCUGCCACCCGUGCCA
This 74-nucleotide transfer RNA is filed under the name Mycoplasmataceae bacterium. Its description in RNAcentral is "tRNA-Trp". It matches the Rfam family "tRNA". From Rfam's summary of the family: Transfer RNA (tRNA) molecules are approximately 80 nucleotides in length. Their secondary structure includes four short double-helical elements and three loops (D, anti-codon, and T loops). The record is from RNAcentral. Lineage: Bacteria; Bacillati; Mycoplasmatota; Mollicutes; Mycoplasmatales; Mycoplasmataceae.